UACGUAGGGUGCGAGCGUUGUCCGGAAUCAUUGGGCGUAAAGCGCGUGUAGGCGGCCCGAUAAGUCCGCUGUGAAAGUCCAGGGCUCAACCCUGGGAUGCCGGUGGAUACUGUCGGGCUCGAGUCCGGAAGAGGAGUGUGGAAUUCCCGGUGUAGCGGUGAAAUGCGCAGAUAUCGGGAGGAACACCAAUGGCGAAGGCAGCUCGCUGGGACGUUACUGACGCUGAGACGCGAAAGCGUGGGGAGCAAACAGG
This 253-nucleotide ribosomal RNA is filed under the name uncultured bacterium. Its description in RNAcentral is "partial 16S ribosomal RNA". It matches the Rfam family "Bacterial small subunit ribosomal RNA", at positions 524 to 776 of the family's 1533-position model. The record is from RNAcentral.